UCCCUCGUAGCUCAGUUGGUAAAGAAUCUGCCUGCAAUGCAGGAGACCCAGGUUAAAUCCUGGGUCGGGAA
RNAcentral lists this transfer RNA (71 nucleotides) under Bos taurus (domestic cattle). It matches the Rfam family "tRNA". From Rfam's summary of the family: Transfer RNA (tRNA) molecules are approximately 80 nucleotides in length. Their secondary structure includes four short double-helical elements and three loops (D, anti-codon, and T loops). The record is from Rfam by way of RNAcentral. Lineage: Eukaryota; Metazoa; Chordata; Mammalia; Artiodactyla; Bovidae. RNAcentral also lists the same sequence under 4 other names.